AGAGAGGAUGAAUACUCUAAGAUAUGAUUCUGGAAUCUUCGGCCGAAGUAUCGAGCGUUAUAAAGGAAAGCAUUCCUAUACGACUCAAUUGAAUCAUAUAAAGGAAUAAUCACAUUAGGGGUUUGACAUAAUAUAUCCAUACCCUAGUGAUGUGAUUGAGAGUAUUGUUUUAGAGAAGGAUCGAAUUGCAUUGUAAUUCUAACUGAAUAGGUUCUCCGAACAACUUCUACAUUAGCUUGGGU
This 242-nucleotide long non-coding RNA is filed under the name Malus domestica (apple). RNAcentral's name for it is "long non-coding RNA (MDOM_LNC020569)". The record is from RNAcentral. Lineage: Eukaryota; Viridiplantae; Streptophyta; Magnoliopsida; Rosales; Rosaceae.